RNAcentral lists this ribosomal RNA (684 nucleotides) under uncultured bacterium. Its description in RNAcentral is "bacterial SSU rRNA". It matches the Rfam family "Bacterial small subunit ribosomal RNA", at positions 62 to 735 of the family's 1533-position model. The record is from RNAcentral.
UCGAGGGGCAGCAUAUAGAUUGCUUGCAAUUUAUGAUGGCGACCGGCGCACGGGUGAGUAACGCGUAUCCAACCUACCCAUUACUAGGGAAUAACCCAGCGAAAGUUGGCCUAAUGCCCUAUGUAGUCGUUUGAUCGCCUGAGAUUUCGACGAAAGAUUUAUCGGUAUUGGAUGGGGAUGCGUCUGAUUAGCUUGUUGGCGGGGUAAAGGCCCACCAAGGCAACGAUCAGUAGGGGUUCUGAGAGGAAGGUCCCCCACAUUGGAACUGAGACACGGUCCAAACUCCUACGGGAGGCAGCAGUGAGGAAUAUUGGUCAAUGGGCGAGAGCCUGAACCAGCCAAGUAGCGUGCAGGAUGACGGCCCUAUGGGUUGUAAACUGCUUUUAUAUGGGAAUAAAGUGAGGGACGUGUCCCUUAUUGCAUGUACCAUAUGAAUAAGGACCGGCUAAUUCCGUGCCAGCAGCCGCGGUAAUACGGAAGGUCCAGGCGUUAUCCGGAUUUAUUGGGUUUAAAGGGAGCGUAGGCUGUUUGUUAAGCGUGUUGUGAAAUGUAAGAGCUCAACUUUUAGAUUGCAGCGCGAACUGGCAGACUUGAGUGCGCACAACGUAGGCGGAAUUCAUGGUGUAGCGGUGAAAUGCUUAGAUAUCAUGACGAACUCCGAUUGCGAAGGCAGCUUACGGGAGC